AGAGCGAACGCUGGCGGCAGGCUUAACACAUGCAAGUCGAGCGGGCGUAGCAAUACGUCAGCGGCAGACGGGUGAGUAACGCGUGGGAACGUACCUUUUGGUUCGGAACAACCCAGGGAAACUUGGGCUAAUACCGGAUAAGCCCUUACGGGGAAAGAUUUAUCGCCGAAAGAUCGGCCCGCGUCUGAUUAGCUAGUUGGUGAGGUAAUGGCUCACCAAGGCGACGAUCAGUAGCUGGUCUGAGAGGAUGAUCAGCCACAUUGGGACUGAGACACGGCCCAAACUCCUACGGGAGGCAGCAGUGGGGAAUAUUGGACAAUGGACGCAAGCCUGAUCCAGCCAUGCCGCGUGAGUGAUAAAGGCCCUAGGGUUGUAAAGCUCUUUUGUGCGGGAAGAUAAUGACGGUACCGCAAGAAUAAGCCCCGGCUAACUUCGUGCCAGCAGCCGC
RNAcentral lists this ribosomal RNA (448 nucleotides) under uncultured bacterium. RNAcentral describes it as "SSU rRNA". It matches the Rfam family "Bacterial small subunit ribosomal RNA", at positions 26 to 518 of the family's 1533-position model. The record is from RNAcentral.